This 583-nucleotide long non-coding RNA is filed under the name Salvia miltiorrhiza (redroot sage). Its description in RNAcentral is "long non-coding RNA (SMIL_LNC012310)". The record is from RNAcentral. Lineage: Eukaryota; Viridiplantae; Streptophyta; Magnoliopsida; Lamiales; Lamiaceae.
UCUCUCUCUCUGCAAUUGUCUCUCUCUCUCAAAUUACUAGUCUUCAAUCUUCAUUCACCUCGUCGUCUGCCCUCUCCAUCUCGAACCCUCUCUCCACCGUCGGCCCGCCGCCGCCUCCACUCACGUCAUCGUCUGCCCUCUCCAUCUCGAACCCUCUCUCCAGUUGCGUCGAUUUGUGUGAGGAGAAGCUCGAGGCGAUCCGCAGAGAUUCGUGCCGAUAGCCCACUCCAGCCACCCCCUCCAACGAAACCCUAGCAGCGGCGGGGCGGGGCUGAGUCCAAGCGGUGUUGGCUUGACCGAGAAGACGAUGCAGAGGCUCGAGGCGAUCUGCCGCGAUUCGCAUCAAAAGCCCGCUCCAGCUGCGUCUAUCUACCGUCCACCCCUCUGAAUGAAACCCUAGCAGCGGCGCGGCGGAGUGCGAGCGGUGGCGGCUUGAGCGAGAAGACGAUCCAGAUCUGUUCCUGAGAUUUCUCCAAGUUCAUUCUCUGUUCCUAAGAUUUCUCCAAUUUUGUUUGAUUUGUUUGAGUUCGAUUGGUUUUACUCUCUAUUCAUGAAAUUUUGCGCUCUCUGUUCAUGAAAUUCA